AUGCGCGGCCUCCGGGGCCUCCUCGCCGUCUCCGGCCGCCGCGCGGCGGCGAGCGGCGCCUCCUCGUCUCCCCACAGCGUCCUCUUCGCCCGUGCCCUCCAGAUCCUCUCCCAGCCGGAGCCCGUCCGCCUCCACAAGCUCUCGGCGCCCGACUCCGGGAUCGUGGAGCUGAGGCUGGAGCGGCCGGAGGCCAGGAACGCCAUCGGGAAGGAGAUGCUCAAGGGGCUGCGGAGCGCCAUGGACAAGGUGGGGGCCGACCCGACGGCCAACGUCGUGUUGGUCGCGAGCUCCGUGCCCAAGGUUUUCUGCGCGGGCGCUGACCUCAAGGAAAGGAGGUUAAUGGGCCCUUCUGAAGUCCGGGAAUUUGUUAAUACCUUGAGAGCUACAUUCUCAUCCUUUGAGGCACUCCCUAUUCCUACAAUAGCUGUUGUUGAAGGAGCUGCUUUUGGCGGUGGGCUAGAGUUGGCUCUUUCAUGUGAUCUUCGUAUAUGUGGGGAGAGUGCAACAUUCAGCUUGCCAGAAACCGGCCUUGCUAUUAUUCCUGGGUAUGUGUCCAGGAUGGCGCUUUACUUUUCUGGAGGGACACAGCGUCUUCCAAGGAUUGUUGGAAGGGCCAGAGCAAAGGAAUUGAUAUUCACUGGCCGUAGAUUUGAUGCGACAGAAGCUGUAAAUAUGGGGGUAGUGAACUACUGUGUUCCUGGUGGUGAGGCUUAUCAAAAGGCUCUUGAACUUGCCCGGGAGAUAAAUCAGAAAGGUCCGUUAGCGAUAAGGAUGGCCAAGAAGGCCAUCAACGAAGGGAUGGAGGUAGACCUGUCCUCUGCGUUGGCUGUCGAAGAAGAGUGCUACGAGCAAGUUCUGCACACUCGGGAUCGCCUUGAAGGUCUAGCUGCAUUUGCAGAGAAAAGAAGACCUUUGUACACAGGAAAGUGA
Molecule: ribosomal RNA, 930 nt
Filed under: Triticum aestivum (bread wheat)
Lineage: Eukaryota; Viridiplantae; Streptophyta; Magnoliopsida; Poales; Poaceae
Description: partial small subunit ribosomal RNA
Source: RNAcentral